GCGGGCGUGGCUCAGUGGUAGAGCAUCACCUUGCCAAGGUGAGGGUCGCCAGUUCGAAUCUGGUCGCCCGCUCCA
This 75-nucleotide transfer RNA is filed under the name Actinomycetota bacterium. RNAcentral describes it as "tRNA-Gly". It matches the Rfam family "tRNA". Rfam says of the family: Transfer RNA (tRNA) molecules are approximately 80 nucleotides in length. Their secondary structure includes four short double-helical elements and three loops (D, anti-codon, and T loops). Further hydrogen bonds mediate the characteristic L-shaped molecular structure. tRNAs have two regions of fundamental functional importance: the anti-codon, which is responsible for specific mRNA codon recognition, and the 3' end, to which the tRNAs corresponding amino acid is attached (by aminoacyl-tRNA synthetases). tRNAs cope with the degeneracy of the genetic code in two manners: having more than one tRNA (with a specific anti-codon) for a particular amino acid; and 'wobble' base-pairing, i.e. permitting non-standard base-pairing at the 3rd anti-codon position. The record is from RNAcentral. RNAcentral also lists the same sequence under 1 other name. Lineage: Bacteria; Bacillati; Actinomycetota.